Pelobates cultripes (western spadefoot toad) is the source of this 225-nucleotide non-coding RNA. The record is from the annotation of a GenBank genome assembly. NCBI's taxonomy places the organism in Eukaryota, Metazoa, Chordata, Amphibia, Anura, Pelobatidae.
AAUCAGAGAUGUUGUUAUGUUAUAAAGAUGGGCAUAUUAAAAUGCUGGCGUAAUUAAAAAAAAUAAACAAUAUAUUUUUCUAUAUUCAUUCAUUAGGAAUGACAUAAGACUGCAAAGGGGUACAUGUGAAUAAAGCCUAGAGCUGCCCCUUUCCUUCUUUUCUCCUACUCUCUGGAUUAAAUGACCAUAAGAAUAAAAGCAGCAAAUCAAGAUGUCACAAUGUAC